CCUACGGGUGGCAGCAGUGAGGAAUAUUGGUCAAUGGCCGUAAGGCUGAACCAGCCAAGUAGCGUGAAGGAUGACUGCCCUAUGGGUUGUAAACUUCUUUUAUAAAGGAAUAAAACGAGGCACGUGUGCCCUUUUGCAUGUACUUUAUGAAUAAGGAUCGGCUAACUCCGUGCCAGCAGCCGCGGUAAUACGGAGGAUCCGAGCGUUAUCCGGAUUUAUUGGGUUUAAAGGGAGCGUAGAUGGGUUGUUAAGUCAGUUGUGAAAGUUUGCGGCUCAACCGUAAAAUUGCAAUUGAUACUGGCAGUCUUGAGUACAGUUGAGGUAGGCGGAAUUCGUGGUGUAGCGGUGAAAUGCUUAGAUAUCACGAAGAACCCCGAUUGCGAAGGCAGCUUACUAAACUGUGACUGACAUUGAUGCUCGAAAGUGUGGGUAUCAAACAGGAUUAGAUACCCCAGUAGUC
RNAcentral lists this ribosomal RNA (460 nucleotides) under uncultured bacterium. Its description in RNAcentral is "partial 16S ribosomal RNA". It matches the Rfam family "Bacterial small subunit ribosomal RNA", at positions 338 to 795 of the family's 1533-position model. The record is from RNAcentral.